AUGGGAUACUUUGACACAAGGCAUUAUCAAAUGAAUCGAGGGACAGACCCAAGGAUAAUUGGCUGUCUAGAGAAGGGGCACUCAGACCCAACAACUUCCUUAGAGAGUGACCCUCCCUCAAGGUUAUGCAGUAGUAGUAGCGCAGGGGUGGCAGUAGCGCAGGGGUGUAAGACCUGCACUACUACUAAGUGGUCCCUAAAUGGGCCACCUCUACUUUUGAGCAACACAAUCCUUUCCAUCUUCGCCUCAUCGUUGACCCUAGUCACAGACGAUCUCCUCAUUGUCGUUGGCACAAUCAAAAUCAUUUGGUUGCAUGUUCAUUACCUGGCAGGCGGAGGAUACCACUGGAAACUCUGA
Molecule: ribosomal RNA, 357 nt
Filed under: Triticum aestivum (bread wheat)
Lineage: Eukaryota; Viridiplantae; Streptophyta; Magnoliopsida; Poales; Poaceae
Description: partial small subunit ribosomal RNA
Source: RNAcentral